This 253-nucleotide ribosomal RNA is filed under the name uncultured bacterium. Its description in RNAcentral is "partial 16S ribosomal RNA". It matches the Rfam family "Bacterial small subunit ribosomal RNA", at positions 524 to 776 of the family's 1533-position model. The record is from RNAcentral.
UACGGGGGUGGCAAGCGUUGUUCGGAAUUACUGGGCGUAAAGGGCGCGUAGGCGGGCGGGCAAGUCUCUCGUGGAAGCCCACGGCUCAACCGUGGAACUGCGGGAGAUACUGCCUGUCUUGAGUCCGGGAGAGGAGGGUGGAAUUCCCAGUGUAGCGGUGAAAUGCGUAGAUAUUGGGAGGAACACCGGUGGCGAAGGCGGCUCUCUGGACCGGUACUGACGCUGAGGCGCGAAAGCUAGGGGAGCAAACGGG